Triticum aestivum (bread wheat) is the source of this 4251-nucleotide long non-coding RNA. RefSeq lists it as uncharacterized. NCBI's taxonomy places the organism in Eukaryota, Viridiplantae, Streptophyta, Magnoliopsida, Poales, Poaceae. The transcript has 5 exons. The record is from RefSeq and is a predicted model, not a curated record.
CAACCCUCGCCUCAUCCCACUCCCACUCCAGCCGCCAGACAAAACCUAGCCCCCUUGCCCAAUGCCCCCCGAUCCCCACAGCCGUCGCACGACUUCGCUCCUCCUUCCCUCCCACCGUACCCUCUCCUUGCUUGCAUCCGCCUCCUUUCCACCUCCGCCCGAGCUCCGCCUUCCUCGCCCGCCUCCUCCUCCUUGCCAUCGGUGGAAUCAGUGAGCAUAGGGGCAACAGCAAUGGCUGGAUGCGAUGAGCUUGCCUCCGGUGGCGCCAGGAACCUGCAAGCAAAGGGCGACCCCAUGGAUCCAUCCCUGCAGGGAGAGAAGAUGCGGAUGGAGGAUUGAAGGAUAGGGGGAGGUAGGCGAGCUGGCGGGGUGGUCUCGCCGGCGAUGACAGGGCUGACCGGCCGGAGUUGGAUCGAGAUCCCGGCUCGGCUUGGCUCCAACUCCCUCUUUCACCUCUCCGCUCCCCGGCACUCAAAUCUGGCUCUUCUGCACACAUAAGUAGCUAUGGAAAGAAAGCUUGUAGUGGAGUGGGUUCCUUUGUAUGAUCUUGGAAGAUGAUGACCUCUGAACCUCAUUAGAAAGCAUGGCAACGGCUUAAGGUUAGCGCAUUUCGAGAAGCCAACAGAUCACCGCCUACUUCCUUAGGCUGACAAUCACCUGCGGGAUAAAGUGUGAUGUUUUGCCUGAGGGGUUGGAGCAGGACAGCAGGAGGAGACAAGAUCAAGGACUGGGCCAAUGUGGUCGUCGCGCACGAACCAGUGUAGCCCAUUGGCGCUGGGAAAGUUGUAUCAGCGGCUCAGGCACAUGAAGUAAGUUCCUCCAUUUAGGUGUAUUGGUGUUUCUGAACUAGCAGACACACAUCAGUUUUGUAAAAGGAAGCACGAGGCGGCAUUAAAAGAGAUCAGUCAGAUUCUUCUUCCAGGUAGUACAUGUUAUCACCCAUCUGGAAUUAAGAAAUGAAAAGGACUGAUCUGAUGCUGGCUGAAAAAUCAGUGAAGGGGAACAACUGCUACUUGAUUUUGAUUUGCGUAUUUAUUUUGAUACCAAAGUUACAGUUGUGAGGAUGCUUCCCUGAAGUUAACUUUGCUAAUAAGUUAGUAUACAAAAAAUUCUGACACAUAACAUUAGUCUCUUCCUUUAAUCGUCGGUGCAUAACCAUCGGGCACUGUACAAGGUCUUAGGUCUCCCGGAAACAAAAGAGAAGAAUCUUGGGCAUGAAAGAACAACUUUAUUGUUUGAUGCUAGCUGGAUGAUUCCCCCCCCCCCCCCCCCCCCCCUCCCCACCUAAAUUUGAUUGAAUUUAUUCAUGAGUUCAUCUUUUCUAACAAUUCUUUUUAAGAUCUGCUUUAUGUUAUUCCAUAUAAUUGAUACUUUUGUCGUGAAUAACCAGGUUCUAUCAAAUUUACACUAAUCGUACCGAAGGGAUCUAAUCUUACUAAACCAAACUUGCUGCUUUUGGCUUCCAAAAACCAAAUUUCUCAACUCAAUUGCUGUUUCAGAGGGUAUUGAAGCAAAUAAGUGUUCUAGCAGGAAUAGCAUGUUUUAGCUUUCAAUCUCAUGAAUAUACUGAUCUGUUUCAGAUACCUCAGUACACUGUCAGUUGCUCCAUUGAUAGCGUUAGUUGGCUUUGCACUGUAUGAGCUGGUUUUCCGUCGGUAAGGCCUGCGCAUUGUGUUUCUGCUCAAUACUUGUUUAAUCAUGCAUACUUAUGUUUGAACAACAAAUACACAUCCUGGUGAUAUUUGCUACACAAUUCCUAUGCACUCAAUAUUUUUAACCUUUUGUUACCCAACAUAAAUAUGUGCUCCAGGUGCAUUUUUGUGCCCAUCCGCUUUCAUUUUUACACUCCUGAUGAACAUGUCGAUGUGAUGAGGGGUGUUAACAGUCUUGCUCUGUAGUAGUGUGAAGAUCUGGAGGAUGCAGGCCAUGGCCUCCUCCAGUCUGCCUUGGCAUGUGUUACAUUGCUUAUAUAUAUGGAUGGGUAACCACUUGACAGUUUGUCCGUGCUACUCGCCAUUUCCUCUCGAAGCAUAUGCUUGCAGCAUAAUGAUUAAUUUUCUCUGAAAUAAAUGCCAUACAUUUUUAUUAUCUAUUUGUUCUUGUUUUUUUGUGUUCUUCAUUAAACCUAAUCCUUACCUGGUAUUGUUUUCUGAACUAUGUUAUCGUAGUAUUUUUUUUAAUAGAACACUGUAUCAUGUCAUAGGUUGGUCACGACGAACAUUGCUUCUUUGGAUUAGCUUGCAUAGGUUGGUUGGUGAUGAUGCUCUCCUGUGGACCGGCAGCCGUGGUUUGAUUUAGAUGUAAAAUUCACUAGCCUCUGUUGUUUAUCAGUUCCGUGCUGAUAGGGAAUUUGGGGCGAAGAUAGAAAGGGAAUGCUAAUAUUGAUCGGGAAUUUAUGCCUGUUACAUUUUAGUUAUAAAUCAAUCUUCCUGGUGAUUGGUUUGGCAAUAACUACACACUUUAAAAUUUUCAUCUUUUGGGUCUGCAUAGAUGAUUUCCCCUGAGGAUUGUAGUAAUGUUUAAACAAGUACUAAAAAUACUACUGGAGGUUGGGCUGCGCCAAUGACGCGUCUCCUGAGCCAGAUCAUUUCCUUCCUUUAAUUUUUAAUCAUGGUCUAGCGGUUUCAAGAACCAUUUAUCAAACAUUUAAGGAUAUUGAACAUAGUAUGUGACUAUGAAAAAAAGGUUGUCCUUUCUUUCAGGUUGUCCACGGGAGCUAUGGCAAAAAGGCAACUUGCUUGAACUGAAUCAGCCAUUAGCUUCUUAUUAUGUACAUAUCUGAAAAAACUGUAGGUCUACCUCUCUGUAGAAAUACACAAGCAUUCUAACCUAUAAGGUGGUUGGGCGACCCGCCCACCCAAGCGCUCCUUCGAUUUUUCUUAGUUUUGAGCCUUUGAUCGGGCCUGGUCGCGUCAACGCUGGUGUGCCAGCCGUUUGAUUUUUACAUAUUUUUUGACCCAUGAUUGUUUCAAGCAAUAGUGUUGUCAAUAUAUUAAUUACUAGAUUAUGUUACUAUUGUAUAUUAGAAGAACUUCAUGAUAUAUGUAUUUAUAGGAUUCUCUGAUAUUUGAUGCAAAAUAUUGAUGGCCAGGUGAAUACAGUGGACUCUUCAAGAUUGAGGGCAAACUGCAUAUGCCGAGGGUGUCCAUCGACAACCUGCCCAAUGUCCAUAUUCACCGAGGAGUACAACCAGAGACACUGUUGACUGCGUGUAGCAGGCGCCAAGCCCUCCGACGCCCAGCCGUCCGCUAUGGUCUCUGCCCGAAGAAGGAUUAUGGUUCUCCACCUCUCUGCUACUCAUAUUAGAAUUCUGGUAUGUUCUUUCUUUCUUUAUUUUCUGUCAACAAAAAGGUGGAACCUGUUCUUAAUUUCCCAUAAUGAUUUUGAUGACAAUUUGUUAGUGUAUUUCUAGCUGGAAUUGCAUUAUAUCUUACAAAUUCACAAUGCAACCAAUUAAUAAGGAGAAUAGAAGCAUUUGCAUCCAUCUAACAUAUUUGUAUGAUAUUUUUUCAAAAGCUCAAGGUUGUAGAUGUGGCGCUGUAUGAGGCGAUCAUUAGGAUGGAAAAUAAAUUAAUGUUAAAAUAUUGUUUGAAUUUCCUUCGUUCUGUAAAUGGCAAUACAAGCUAUGUUUGCGCCAUGAUUCUAUUCCAAUUUUUUUAAUAACUGGUCAUUAACGACAGAUAAAAUGUUCUGUAUUGAAAUGGAGCAUUUGUCAGUUUGGGUUUAGUAGGUCAGAAUGGUUCUAUUCUACAGCAGGAUUAUGUAACCAGUUCAAGAAUUGAUGAGUUUUUGAGCCCUAUGAUCUCUGUACACUAAGGUUUGCAUGUGUUUUUUGUGAAAUAUACGUCCUGCAAGUCUUACGUGUCUUGUGUUGUUUCCGCUUUCCAAUCCACAGGCUUUUGAUAUACUUCAAACGAGAUUCUUUAUAUGUUGUUCGAUUCCUCUUGCUAUCACCACAAGGGGAAAUUGCUUACGGUGGCAAUAUGCUCUUCUAUGUUGUCUGAUUGACUCUUUUUAUUAGCAUGGAGAAAAACUUUUAGUUCACUAAGAUUAGUUUAUGUUCACAUUGCUCUGUAUAUAAAAAAGGAUUGUUGUGCUGAAAAGGUGUAUGACAUUCUGGCAAAACAUUGUUUAGUAAGAAAGUAUGUAGAGGUGAAAUGUUGUGGAUGUUCUGACAGGGAGAUACUUGGACUAACUUUACCGUCACACCUUAUUCAAUAUUCUGGGUAUUGGGUUAUGUUGUUUUCCUCC